GGGGGGAAUUGGACAAUGGGGGAAACCCUGAUCCAGCGAACGCCGCGUGAGUGAAGAAGUAUUUCGGUAUGUAAAGCUCUAUCAGCCGGGAAGAAAGAAAUGACGGUACCUGGAGUAAGAAGCCCCGGCUAACUAC
RNAcentral lists this ribosomal RNA (136 nucleotides) under uncultured bacterium. RNAcentral describes it as "partial 16S ribosomal RNA". It matches the Rfam family "Bacterial small subunit ribosomal RNA", at positions 356 to 504 of the family's 1533-position model. The record is from RNAcentral.